AGCAUCAUGCUCAUGCCAAAGAUUAAGCCAUGCACGUGCAAGCAUAAAUUUCAUAUUUAAUGCCAAGAAGAAAGGAAAGUCAUUUUUUAUUUUUUUUUCCCAACUGUGAAGCUGCUCAUGGCUCCCUAAAUCAGUCUUGAAUCUGAAGUCCUUUUUUAUUUAUAUUAAGGAUAACCAGUCUAAAGACUGGCUAAUACAUGUGUAGAGAUACUGUGCCUUUUUUUUUUUAUGAAGAGGGGUAAAGGAUGUCAUUUUCCAUAUUUAUAUUUUGUUGUAAUUUUUUUAUUGCUCUAGAAAAAAUCCAUGAUCCGAAUAUGGCGAAAGUAACAUAUUUUACAUAGUCCCGAUAUUGUUUGGAAAUAUUCAUUAAAGUGUUAGUGUAAUAUUCAUAAGUAGCCUCGAAAAUCAGCACACUUAUAUAUAUAUGUGUGUGUGGAACUAUGGGAAACUGCUCCAUCUUUUCUGGUCAGCAUUGUAUUGUACUAAGAGAUGAGAAACACGGGUAACGGAAGAUCAGGGUUUGACGCCGGAGAGGGAGCUCGAAAGAUGGCUCCCACUCCCAAGGGGGGCAGCAGGCGCGCAAAUUGUCCAAUCCUAACACAACUCGUCCUCUGUUUCACGCGAUCAACUGGGGAGGGUGAUGAUGAUGAGGGAGGAAGAAGAAGAAGAAAGAAAACCAACCAAGUUGACGCAUCUUGUGUUGGGCGUUUUUUCUAUUUUUCUUUAAUCUUUGUUUUUUGGCCUCUCUAGGUGGGGUCGAGUGAGGGGGGGCGAGAAGAGGGAGACAGUGACCACAAAUAACAUUUCUCCUGUUGUGGGUUUCUUCUCCCUGGGUAAAACUGGAGAGGGGAAACCCAUUUAUUAUCUGGAGUUGGGUGGAAUGAGAAAAUUUCAAACAGUUUAUUGAGCAACCAUUGGAGGGAAAGUCUGGUGCCAGCAGCCGCGGUAAUUCCAGCUCCAAUAGUGUAAGCUAAAGUUGUUGUGAUUGAAAAGCUCGUAGUUGUAAGCAAAAAUAAAUUCAUAUAUAAUUUUCUUUUUCUUUUAUAAUAAGGAAGAAGAAGAGAAAGAGAGAGAGAGAUGAUAAUACUCUACAUAUAUAGAGUUAUAAUUUCUGGGGUUUGAAACUUUCCAUCUCAUCAUGGAUCGUAUUUUUUUUAUGGGAUACAUAUAGAGACAGAGAGGGAAUCUUGAGAGAUUCGUUUUAUAUACCAAGGAUUAUUUUCUUUUUCUUUUGAAGAGGGUAGGUAAGGAUGUAAAAAUUCUUCUUAUUUUUUUUUUUGAUUAAUUCACACUCCUUCUCUUUUAUCUGUGUUGAUAGAAAGAUAGAUGGAUAUGCGUUUUGGAAGAGUGAGGAAAUAUGGCUGAUUUUCAAAGAUUUGUGACUUUUUUUUAGGGUUUUUUUUCGUGUAGAGAGAUACUUACUGGGCACACAGAUUAUCAAAAGAGAUCGAGUUAGAGGUGGGUUGGUGUUCUAUGUUCCUUUUUUGCGUUUGUCGUACACAACCACCAAGAGGUGAAUUAUAUCAUACUUUAACAUCAUUUUUGCCUUGAAAAAAUUAAAGUGUUCAAAGCAGGCUAUUUUAAACAGAUGUAUAAUCUGUUUAUGUCUCUGUAUAUCAUUAGCAUGGUACAAAAUUUUAUAAAAAAAAUAAAGGCCGAUUUAUGCCCGCAAGAGAGAGGGGCCUUCGCUUGUAUGUUUUGUGGGGGCUUUAACCUAUAUAAGCAUAUCUCUGGUGUUUUUUUUACAAAAUGGAGGUUUGAAACAGGACGACUCUGAUUUACUUGAGAGAGGUGAAAUUCUGUGACCUUGUGAAAGAAGAACCGAGGCUAAAGCAGGCGGAAUUUUAAGUGUCCUGGAUGAAGGUAAAUAUACGUUUUUUGUUGCAAUCCUUGACAUUUAAAUGGGUGUAGGCAGACUUUCAUACAAUCAAGAACGAAAGCUAGGGGAUCAAAGACGAUCAGAUACCGUCGUAGUCUUAUCUAUAAACGAUACAAGCCAAACCCUGGUGGAGAAAUUAAAUACAUGGAAAAAGAUUCAUAUAUAUGUAUUAAAGAUAACGUGGAGAGGGAGGAGACAAAUGGGAAAAAGAAGAUGUCCUCUUUUUUAUUCUUGUGUUCCUCCCUCUUCACCUCUUUUCUUUAUUGUAGUAUAGUUUUUUUUUCUAAUCUAAACAAUUUAACUUCUUCAGGAUUUUUUUGAUUAAAAUCUCAAUGUGAGAAAUCGUUGAGCGUUUGUGUUUCAGGGGGAGUAUGGCCGCGAGACUGAAACUUAAAGGAAUUGACGGAAAGGCACACCAGAGGUGGAGCGUGCGGCUCAAUUUGACUCAACACGGGAAAACUCACCAGGUCCAGACACUAGGAUGACUGACAGACUUUUUUUGAGUCUCCCCUCAUCGACGGUAACCCCGUUGGUGUGGAGAGGGAAGAAAAAUAAAUAUGAAGCUCUUUCACGAUUUUUUGGGUGGUGGUGCAUGGCCGUUCUUAGUUCGUGGAGUGAUUUGUCUAGUUAAUUCUGUUAACGAGCGAGAUCUCAUCCUGCUAAAGGUUUCGAUAUAAAAAAAAAAUAUAAAGUAGGAUUAAUACACGCAUACACAGUCGCACACACACAUACUCACUUCUCCAAGGGUUGGGUGUGUGUGUGUGGUGUCUGGGGUAUGACGUGACUUCUUAGAUUGACAUACCAGUUUUCUCUUCUCCUCUCUCUCUCUCUCUCUCUCUUUCCUCUUUUUUUUGGGGGGGGUGGGGAGGGGGUGAAGAGUAGAGGAGAGAUGGUAUAGGAGGGACCAUCAACAUGAUAUUACAAACAAAUGGAUGGAAGAGUGAGGCAAUAACAGGUCUGUGAUGCCCUUCGAUGUCUUGGGCUGCACGCGCGCGACAAUGACAUAGACAAAGAGUAUAAAAACAUUCAAGCGUAUUCUCACACCCACCUCUUCAUCCUCCCCCCCCGUGGUGUGUUAACAGCAUAUCGCGUGGGGGGGGGUGGGGUUGUGGCGUGUGAGGAAUGACCUUGAAAUCCAUGGCUGAAGAGUUAUUUUCUGAUAUCAAUCCUGACCGUGAACACUCUCUCCUUCGUGAUGCUCUUAUCUUCAUUCAACUGUGGGUGUAGAGCAGUGGGAGGCGGGACUGCUGUCGUAACGGUAAGAGGGGAUACCGUUGAUUUUGGAAAUCAUUCAAGAUAUGUCAUGCUGGGGAUAAAGCCUUGUAACUAUUGCUUUUUAACGUGGAAUCUCUUGUAGCUGUUUGUCAUUCAGCCAGCAUUGACUACGUCCCUGCCCUUUGUACACACCGCCCGUCGCUCCUACCGAUUGGAUGGGCAGAUGAAGGCUUUUUGCGAGAGGGGUGAUCAAGUUGCAUACGAGUGUUUAUCCCAUCUCUAUGAUGGGGUACGCACCCCCAACCUCUCCCCUCGAGCGCGUCUGAAUAUUUUUAUCUAGAGGAAGGAGAAGUCGUAACAAGGUUUCU
This 3462-nucleotide ribosomal RNA is filed under the name Pelomyxa stagnalis. Its description in RNAcentral is "partial small subunit ribosomal RNA". It matches the Rfam family "Eukaryotic small subunit ribosomal RNA". The record is from RNAcentral. Lineage: Eukaryota; Evosea; Pelobiontida; Pelomyxidae.